This 440-nucleotide ribosomal RNA is filed under the name uncultured bacterium. RNAcentral's name for it is "partial 16S ribosomal RNA". It matches the Rfam family "Bacterial small subunit ribosomal RNA", at positions 338 to 795 of the family's 1533-position model. The record is from RNAcentral.
CCUACGGGUGGCAGCAGUGGGGAAUAUUCCACAAUGGAGGGAACCCUGAUGCAGCGACGCCGCGUGAGUGAAGAAGUAUUUCGGCACGUAAAGCUCUAUCAGCAGGGAAGAAGGAGACGGUUCCUGACUGAGAUGUCUCGGCGAACGACGUGUUAGCAGCCGCGGUAAUACGUAGGGGGAAAGCGUUAGCCGGAUUGACUGGGUGUAGAGGGAGCGUAGACGGCAGGGCAAGUCUGGAGUGAAAGCCUGGGGCUCAACCUCGGGACUGAGUUGGAAACUGCUAUGCUGGAGUGCAGGAGAGGUGAGCGGAAUGCCUAGUGUAGCGGUGAAAUGCGUAGAUAUUAGGAGGAACACCAGUGGCGAAGGCGGCUUACUGGACAGCAACUGACGUUGAGGCUCGAAAGCAUGGGGAGCGAACAGGAUUAGAUACCCGGGUAGUC